Non-coding RNA from Macaca mulatta (Rhesus monkey), 52 nucleotides. NCBI's taxonomy places the organism in Eukaryota, Metazoa, Chordata, Mammalia, Primates, Cercopithecidae. The record is from Rfam.
UUUGUAGUAGAAGUAUGUUCCAUGCAAUCUUUGGAACAUACUUAUACUAUGA